AUUGAACGCUGGCGGCAGGCUUAACACAUGCAAGUCGAGCGGAGAUGAGGUGCUUGCACCUUAUCUUAGCGGCGGACGGGUGAGUAAUGCUUAGGAAUCUGCCUAUUAGUGGGGGACAACAUUCCGAAAGGAAUGCUAAUACCGCAUACGUCCUACGGGAGAAAGCAGGGGAUCUUCGGACCUUGCGCUAAUAGAUGAGCCUAAGUCGGAUUAGCUAGUUGGUGGGGUAAAGGCCUACCAAGGCGACGAUCUGUAGCGGGUCUGAGAGGAUGAUCCGCCACACUGGGACUGAGACACGGCCCCGACUCCUACGGGAGGCAGCAGUGGGGAAUAUUGGACAAUGGGGGGAAACCUGAUCCAGCCAUGCCGCGUGUGUGAAGAAGGCCUUAUGGUUGUAAAGCACUUUAAGCGAGGAGGAGGCUACUGAGACUAAUACUCUUGGAUAGUGGACGUUACUCGCAGAAUAAGCACCGGCUAACUCUGUGCCAGCCGCCGCCGUAA
RNAcentral lists this ribosomal RNA (501 nucleotides) under uncultured bacterium. Its description in RNAcentral is "partial 16S ribosomal RNA". It matches the Rfam family "Bacterial small subunit ribosomal RNA", at positions 30 to 523 of the family's 1533-position model. The record is from RNAcentral.